RNAcentral lists this ribosomal RNA (498 nucleotides) under uncultured bacterium. Its description in RNAcentral is "partial 16S ribosomal RNA". It matches the Rfam family "Bacterial small subunit ribosomal RNA", at positions 27 to 507 of the family's 1533-position model. The record is from RNAcentral.
GGAUGAACGCUGGCGGCGUGCCUACUCCAUGCAAGUCGAGCGAACGGACGAGAAGCUUGCUUCUCUGAUGUUAGCGGCGGACGGGUGAGUAACACGUGGAUAACCUACCUAUAAGACUGGGAUAACUUCGGGAAACCGGAGCUAAUACCGGAUAAUAUUUUGAACCGCAUGGUUCAAAAGUGAAAGACGGUCUUGCUGUCACUUAUAGAUGGAUCCGCGCUGCAUUAGCUAGUUGGUAAGAUAACGGCUUACCAAGGCAACGAUGCAUAGCCGACCUGAGAGGGUGAUCGGCCACACUGGAACUGAGACACGGUCCAGACUCCUACGGGAGGCAGCAGUAGGGAAUCUUCCGCAAUGGGCGAAAGCCUGACGGAGCAACGCCGCGUGAGUGAUGAAGGUCUUCGGAUCGUAAAACUCUGUUAUUAGGGAAGAACAUAUGUGUAAGUAACUGUGCACAUCUUGACGGUACCUAAUCAGAAAGCCACGGCUAACUACGUG